CACGCACUCCCUGUCUUCUCUCCCUCUCGUACACUCUCUGUCUCUCUCCCUCAACCUCACACACACCCACACCCAAUGUGUACGGCACACACCCAAACCCUCCAAAAACUCGACGGAUCGAGGCAACCAAGGUAUGCAUCUUCAUCAUUUCGACGUUCUGAGUUCAUUGGUACUAGUUUUAGGAAGUGAAACCCUCGAAAUCACGGGAAACCCGAACCUCCAUUUUUGAGUUACUGUUCAUGCACACGUAAAAUGUCGUGUUUCAGGGAAUUCUAAGCUUGUAGUGAGCUUAGUGAAGUCCUAAGGAGGCUCGGAGUACUUCGUUUGAAGGAUUUGGACGUCAGGAUCACGUGGUUCCAUUUUGGCCGAAUUUCUUGGGAAUUUUCCGGUGAGAUUUAUUGAUUUUUAGAGCCUUAAACUAGUCUAUUGUGAUUCUACAUGUUUGGGGCUUCAAUUUGAUAUAAAAUACGAAGAAAAUGGGUGAAAAACGAAGGAGAACAAGAGGUUUUAAAAUUGGCCAGAAAACGGUCGCCGGAAAAACCAGUCCGGCGACCCAAGGAAGAAGAAGGGCGCGUGGGGGGCGCGUGGGCCCGUGACACGUGCGGCGCGUGGGGGCGCGUGGCACAUCAAAAAAAUAAUCUAAAAAUAUGUCGACGUUCGUGACGUCGAGUAGAUCACUGUGGUAUAUUCAUAUACCCAAAUUGAGCACCGUAUGAGAAAGUUAUUACGAUUAUUGGUUAGGUGCUUUAAAUAACGUUUUAUAGUUUUCGCAUUUAGGUGAAAAUGUGAAUUGACGAUCCGACCGUUGGAUCGUCAUCAAACUUUGAUACGUUGUAAUACGUAAUAUUUUAGGAUUAUUGGAACUUACGGAUUGGGAAUCUGAGUUACGGAUCUUCCAGAAUUGGAGUUGUAAGUUCAUAAAAUAAAAUGUUAACCGUCACUUAGUUUUGGAAAUUGACGGGGAUCCGACCGUUGGAUGGUAAUGAAAUUUCAGGAUGUUGUCCUAGAGAUAUAUUGUGGACCUCUGGAAGUUAUGGAUUUAAAAUCUGAGUUGCAGAUCUUUCGGAUCGAACUGCGUAGUGAUGUGUUUUAUAUAAGUUAUAUUCUAUCGAUAUGAUUUCUGAGGUUGGAUUUGAUUAUUGUUCUAGGCGGCGAUCGUCAUGACGCCUUGAUGUGUUGUGCUAGGGAGUUGUAGGGCGAACUCCAGGUGAGUGGGCAGUUUUGUUUUCGUAUUACCUAUAUACUAUUGAGUUUUCCCAGAAAUUGAAUUUAUAUGAAAAGUAUGAUUUAAAAUGCCAUGGAUAGAUUUAUAUGAAAAGUAUGAUUUGAAAUGCCAUGCAUAGAAGUAUAUGAAAAGCAUGAAUUGAUAUAUGAUGCAUAUAUAUAUGUGAAUUGGUGCUGUGGACGCACAUGUAAGUAUCAGGUGAGUUUUAUAUUAUUCAUGUGCAUUGUUGAUGUGUAUAUUGUGGAUAGCUCAUAACCUGCAAUCAUGGUGUUAGUGCUUAUAUUAUUCACCACACCGCACGCUCGUCUUGGAUCCAAGUAGGUGGAUGUCG
RNAcentral lists this long non-coding RNA (1556 nucleotides) under Malus domestica (apple). Its description in RNAcentral is "long non-coding RNA (MDOM_LNC003966)". Lineage: Eukaryota; Viridiplantae; Streptophyta; Magnoliopsida; Rosales; Rosaceae. The record is from RNAcentral.